CAUGCUCAAAAAUUGGGUGCUCUUUCUUCCACAUACCAAGAAGAAGAAUUCGUGACUUAGAGAUUAAGGAUCGAGGAGAAGAAGAAGAAGACAGUAGAUCAAGGAGUUGAUCUCGCAGUUAAGAUCCAAAGAGUUUAUCAAAGUCUUCAAGGUCAAGAUUAUUCUUGAGAAGAAGAAUAUUCUACGAGAAAAAAAAAGUUUGAGAUAGAUUUUGAUGGAUACCCA
Molecule: long non-coding RNA, 225 nt
Filed under: Elaeis guineensis (African oil palm)
Lineage: Eukaryota; Viridiplantae; Streptophyta; Magnoliopsida; Arecales; Arecaceae
Description: long non-coding RNA (EGUI_LNC047083)
Source: RNAcentral